Scatophagus argus is the source of this 4043-nucleotide RNA transcript. It is a transcript of the gene named endonuclease V-like, with no coding region annotated. The record is from RefSeq and is a predicted model, not a curated record. Lineage: Eukaryota; Metazoa; Chordata; Actinopteri; Scatophagidae. The transcript has 2 exons.
UUAUGGGCCCUAAAGCACCUUGACCAUCACUGUGGCCGUCUGUAACAUGAUCUGGAACAUCUCUCCAUCUCAUUCUCCAUCUGGCUCUCUCUUUUAUCUAGUUUUUUUUCUUUCUCACCAUUCACUGAUUCUGUUUUCUCUCUGCUGCUCUAUCACUCAGUGUCGCUCUCCUCCAGUUUACUUGCUGAUGCUGAUUGCCUCUGUAAUGUACUGAAAAUGUCCUGGGUGGCUAUUCAGAGCAGAUUGCUUUGUGUUGUGUUGCUGUAGGGCCCCUACCAACUGAACCAGGGAGGCAGGCUGAGACCUCCAUAGUUUGGGAGGAAAUAAUGACGGCGCCUGCUAAUGGGCACACUGUUAGGCUCCACUGUUAGGCUCCCGUUUUUUGCUGUUACAGCACAGAAAUAGCUGUGGCAUGUUAGUGUAAUGUGUUCAGUGCUGUGCAGAUGAAGCCCCUCAGUAUAAACUCACCUCCAAUCUUAAAUCAUGAGUGAAAAGAAUACUAAAAUACUGUACUCAAGUAAAAGUGAAUGUGAGAUACUUAGGGAGUAGGUCGGUUAAAAUGUACUAACUAAGUAAAUAUUACUUAUUCACAUUUUUAAAAGGCAAAGUUAUAUGAUGAAAAUAAAAUAAAUUAAAGUAACUGACAAUAAAUAUACAGUCUACAGACACCACGGCAGGUGACACAAACAUUAUUUAGCCACAAAAAAUGAAAUAUCCUGGCACUUCUUACUGUAUCAGCAGCAGAAUAACAACAUCACCAGAACAGACAACACAGAGAUGUAGAACAGUAUACACUGCACACACUACGUAAUGCACCAACAUACAAUGCAGCGUUGCUAGGCAACACAGUGGUUGUUGAAACUCUCAUCUGUACAGUGAGUUACAGUAAUACUCACCUGUCUGAAUGUCAUACUGUCUCAUCUUUCAGUCCACUCUGUCCCAUUGCAGCCAGUCCACCCAACCUCUGUCCCACUGUAACCAGUCCAGUCUGUCCCACUUUAACCAGUCCACCCAACCUCUGUCCCGCUGUAACCAGUCCAAUCUGUCCCACUUUAACCAGUCCACCCAACCUCUGUCCCACUGUAACCAGUCCAGUCUGUCCCACUUUAACCAGUCCACCCAACCUCUGUCCCACUGUAACCAGUCCAGUCUGUCCCACUUUAACCAGUCCACCCAACCUCUGUCCCACUGUAACCAGUCCAGUCUGUCCCACUUUAACCAGUCCACCCAACCUCUGUCCCACUGUAACCAGUCCAGUCUGUCCUACUUUAACCAGUCCACUCAGCCUCUGUCCCGCUGUAACCAGUCCAGUCUGUCCUACUUUAACCAGUCCCCUCAGCCUCUGUCCCACUGUAACCAGUCCAGUGUGUCCCACUGUAACCAGUCCAAUCUGUCCCACUUUAACCAGUCCACCCAACCUCUGUCCCACUGUAACCAGUCCAAUCUGUCCCACUUUAACCAGUCCACUCAGCCUCUGUCCAACUGUAAUCAGUCCAGUCUGUCCCACUUUAACCAGUCCACUCAGCCUCUGUCCAACUGUAACCAGUCCAGUCUGUCCCAAUGUAACCAUUCCUCUUAAUGGAUGCUUAAUUGAACUGGAGGAGAUAAAAAAUACUUUAGUAGAAGUAAAAUUAGAGUUUUGUUUUUAAUGUUCAAAAAAUACAAGUUCACAAAAAAUAAUUUUGUUACUGCAGGGAAAGUAAGUAUAAGUGGUUUCCUCCCUGGUUAAAAUACAUCUUCUGUACCAUCACAUCUGAAGCUUAGUAAGUAAUAAUCUAGUAAGGAGUCUGGGAUUCUGCUGUAUUUAUCAGGCUUCUCAGAGCAGGAAAUCAGUCCUAAGUGGCCAGACAUUCUCACAGUGACACAUCUGCUCGUAUGUGUCAUGUCAGAAGUUUCCAGGAGACAUUGUUCAUUUUGGCAAAAAUGAGACUGACCUUGUGCAAGAUGUGGAGAAUACAUGUCCUCCAAGUUUUGCACUUUAUUGUACCAGAGAAAAUGUCGCUGUGCAACAGUGAUGACUCUGUUGCAGCCAAUGACUUCGGCAGUCAUAAAUCAAACAUUUAUCGUGCACAUCAUAAAGAUAAUGCUCACAGUGAGGAUCCUCAGCGACAGCAAAAUAAAACUUACCGAAACACAGUCAUGUCCUCCUGGCUGGAUGACAGCUGCAUAAUGAAAGAUCUCUCAGUUUAGUUACAACAGGUGAAAUAUUUUUAUGAGGCCUUAUAUCCUGUUAUUAUUAAAUAAACUAAAUUAGGUUAUUUUAGAUAAUAAUGAGGUUAUAAUGUCAGGGAUAAUAGGAUGCAUUGUAACAGUGUGUUCAUAUUGUUACAAUGCAUUUCCCAAGCUGGUGUGACAUACAGAAAUAACACAUUUGGGUCUCUUGUGGGGCACCGAAGUUAACAGGGGGUGUUGGGGGAAUAGGAUCCGGAUGAGGAGAUUGCAUGUUGUUCAAGUUACAGCACUGUUCUAACUGUGGUUGUAUGGGGCAGAUUUUCAUUUUCUCAGUCCACUAUAUAAUAUCCUGUUUAUGUAAAACCUAUACAUAUUAAAGUUAGUUCACACUGAAGAUUCCAGUGCUGUCCAAAAUUUUAAACUGCAGCUGUCAGAGAACGUCUCUCCUACAGUAGUGGGAGUCCUUGCUAAAUGUAAGUUCUAGCUGAACGUAUGCUGGACUACGUGUCUCUGAUGUUUUAAGCUGCAAGCUGAACUGACACCACCUGCUGAAUGCUAAAUACAGAUGCAAAUGAUGCAGCAAAAGACCUGAAGAACACCAGCAGCUACUGAAGACCCCUAACAGUCAUUUAUCUGAAAGCAGUCAUUUCAGACCCAAGACCAGUUAACCCGGGUGGCUGGUGCAAUUGGAGAUGGACUCUAUGUCCCCACUUGGAAAACAGCUGGAGUGUGUGUGUGUGUGUGUGUGUUGUCAAGUGAGAGAGAGAGUGAGAGUGAUUGUGUUCUCUAACUUUCAUGUGCUUUUAAAAGCACAGCUGUUUUAGUCUGGGCCAAGACAUCGUCAGAUUAACUGAAUCUUUUUAUGCACUCGCUCCAUAUUUAUUCUAGAUAUGGGUCAGACUGCCUCUUUUUAUAUACUGUUCUCAUUACAAUUUUGGGUCACUCAGCUUUUUACACUGAGAGCCUUGUAAAUAAAUCAUAUGUCCCUUAUCAGCUUCAGAGUGUUGGUCAUCUGUUAGUAUCUGUGGGCUGUGUGAAUUGUGCUUCAUAUUGAAUUAUACAGGGAGCUGUUCCCUUAAACAAAGUAACACGCACAGGCCAUAUUGUGUAUAAAAUAUCACAGAAUGUGUCUCUUCAAAUGAGUCAGAAUUUUCAGCGGACACCGCUGUGCCAGGCCGUUCCCAGAGAGGGGACCGGAAAAGAAGGGCAGGAGGGAAAGGGGCUGACUCUGCAGGGAUGGUGGCCAAGAAUAGAAGCAGUCAGGUGGGGCAGUAUUGAUCAGCAGGAGGGUCAGAGGAUGAGCUGGUGGACACCACAGACGCAUCCAACGUCAGAGGGACGUAUACAGUGUAGGACACUGGGCAAAUAUUGUAGAUACAGUAUGAACAGACUGUGACAUUUGGGGAAGGAGGGCAGAUUAUGACGUGGUGCACUCAGUACAACACUCUGCUUAAGUCACACACACAAGGUCCUUCAUAACUGAGGCCAAGUAAAAGCCAGAAAUACUUUAAUCAGGGUUUGGUUUUUUUUUGCUCUAACUGAGCAUUUUUAUCCCCAACAAGGUUUGUUUGGCUGUUUGUCAGUUGUUUGUCAUUACAGAAAAACUAGAGGAACAAUAUUCAUGAAACCUGAUGGAAGGGUGUAAUGGGUCAAGGAGGAACCCAAACAAAGAAAUAAAGACACUUUUGGUGAGUCUUGAUAAAGACAAAAAAGUGAUUUCAAAGAGAAGCAGACAGACGCGUCUUCAAUAUGUGUUUGAAGAAUAUAUCCUCACUCAGCAGGUUAAAAUCUGAAGCCUACAGAUCACAGUGAAAAGGUGAUUUCACCUGAUGAUCCAAACAGAAGAAUAAUAAAAAUAUACUGGCUUUAAA